GCUUGUCUCAAAGAUUAAGCCAUGCAUGUUCAAGUAUAGCAAGUGUACAGUGAAACUGCGAAUGGCUCAUUAAAUCAGUUAUAAUUUAUUUGAUAGUGAAAUUGUACAUGGAUAACCGUGGUAAUUCUAGAGCUAAUACAUGCUGUAAAGCCCGACUUCUCGGAAGGGCCGUAUUUAUUAGAUAACAGACCAGCAGCUUCGGCUAUUGUGGUGAAUCAUAGUAACUAAUCGGAUCGCAUGGGCUAGUCCCGCGACAAACCAUUCAAGUUUCUGCCCCAUCAGCUUUCGACGGUAGUGUAUUGGACUACCGUGGCUUUUACGGGUAACGGAGGAUUAGGGUUCGAUUCCGGAGAGGGAGCCUGAGAAACGGCUACCACAUCUAAGGAAGGCAGCAGG
Molecule: ribosomal RNA, 396 nt
Filed under: uncultured Strobilidiidae
Lineage: Eukaryota; Ciliophora; Spirotrichea; Choreotrichida; Strobilidiidae
Description: partial small subunit ribosomal RNA
Rfam family: Eukaryotic small subunit ribosomal RNA
Source: RNAcentral